Molecule: long non-coding RNA, 437 nt
Organism: Aricia agestis (brown argus)
Lineage: Eukaryota; Metazoa; Arthropoda; Insecta; Lepidoptera; Lycaenidae
Exons: 3
Source: RefSeq, a predicted model, not a curated record
AGAAAAAUCUUUACUUGGUAAACUUAUUAUUUUUUUAGGUAUUUUGUUAUAUCUAAUGUUGAAGUUGUCAAUGACAUUGUUGCCCCAUAUGAAAGUGCCGAACCACCUGCAUAUCAUGAUGAUACUGCACUGCCAGCACAUGAUAGUGCCACAGCUGAGACUGGUGCAAUUAAUGUACCACUAUCACCAGUGCCUAGUGAAACAGGCCACACACCUAUGCAGUCAUUGGGUACUAGAGGUAGAUUGAGGAGAGUUGGGCAGGGGCAACGAGAAAGACAUACUGCAGUAAGACCUGCACCACCUGCACAAUCUAACAGGUCAGCGUUACAAGAGUCUCGCAUGAUGAUUUUAGAAAUAGAAAAAAUGAGGGCAGAAGCUUCACUGAAUGCAGCACAAGGUUUUAAGUUAUUGGCUGAGAGUGUGGAUAGACUAGCAAG